CUUCACCGACCCCAGCAGCAGCGGCUGCUCGGCCGGGCGGUCCUGCCCGUACGUGGCCAGCAGCGCCUGCGCCUC
Molecule: antisense RNA, 75 nt
Filed under: Streptomyces sp. RSD-27
Lineage: Bacteria; Bacillati; Actinomycetota; Actinomycetes; Kitasatosporales; Streptomycetaceae
Description: ASpks sRNA
Rfam family: ASpks TB sRNA
Source: RNAcentral